UACGUAGGCAGCAAGCGUUGUUCGGAGUUACUGGGCGUAAAGGGUGUGUAGGCGGUUGGAUAAGUGUGGUGUGAAAUCUCCCGGCUUAACUGGGAGGGUGCGCUACAAACUGUCUGACUAGAGUGUGGGAUGGGUAAGUGGAAUUCCUGGUGUAGCGGUGAAAUGCGUAGAUAUCAGGAGGAACACCGAUGGCGAAGGCAGGUCUCUGGGCAUUAACUGACGCUGAGGAGCGAAAGCAUGGGGAGCGAACAGG
Molecule: ribosomal RNA, 253 nt
Filed under: uncultured bacterium
Lineage: Bacteria
Description: partial 16S ribosomal RNA
Rfam family: Bacterial small subunit ribosomal RNA
Source: RNAcentral